AAGAAGUUAGUCUAAUAAAGACAAUUAAUUUCGACUUAAUAAAUUGUGGCUGCCAUCACAACUUCUUU
This 68-nucleotide transfer RNA is filed under the name Ichthyophis bannanicus. RNAcentral describes it as "tRNA-Arg". Lineage: Eukaryota; Metazoa; Chordata; Amphibia; Gymnophiona; Ichthyophiidae. The record is from RNAcentral.